GAUGAACGCUGGCGUCGUGCCUAAUACAUGCAAGUCGAGCGAACAGACGAGGAGCUUGCUCCUCUGACGUUAGCGGCGGACGGGUGAGUAACACGUGGAUAACCUACCUAUAAGACUGGGAUAACUUCGGGAAACCGGAGCUAAUACCGGAUAAUAUAUUGAACCGCAUGGUUCAAUAGUGAAAGACGGUUUUGCUGUCACUUAUAGAUGGAUCCGCGCCGCAUUAGCUAGUUGGUAAGGUAACGGCUUACCAAGGCAACGAUGCGUAGCCGACCUGAGAGGGUGAUCGGCCACACUGGAACUGAGACGCGGUCCAGGCUCCUACGGGAGGCAGCAGUAGGGAAUCUUCCGCAAUGGGCGAAAGCCUGACGGAGCAACGCCGCGUGAGUGAUGAAGGUCUUCGGAUCGUAAAACUCUGUUAUUAGGGAAGAACAAAUGUGUAAGUAACUAUGCACGUCUUGACGGUACCUAAUCAGAAAGCCACGGCUAACUACGUG
Molecule: ribosomal RNA, 497 nt
Filed under: uncultured bacterium
Lineage: Bacteria
Description: partial 16S ribosomal RNA
Rfam family: Bacterial small subunit ribosomal RNA
Source: RNAcentral